This 240-nucleotide ribosomal RNA is filed under the name uncultured bacterium. Its description in RNAcentral is "partial 16S ribosomal RNA". It matches the Rfam family "Bacterial small subunit ribosomal RNA", at positions 524 to 757 of the family's 1533-position model. The record is from RNAcentral.
GACAGGAGCCCAAGCGUUAGGUCGGAAUCACUGGGCUUAAAGCGUGUGUAGGCGGAUCGUUAAGUGUCGUUGUAGAACUCCACGGCUCAACCGUGGAACUGGCUGGGUAUACGUGGCGGUCUUGGGGCCACCUAGGGGUCAAUCGGAACAGGCGGUGGAGCGGAUGAAUGCGUAGAUAUCGCCUGGAACGCCGACGGUGAAAACAGAUGACUGGGGGUGUGCCGACGCUGAGAACACGAA